RNAcentral lists this unclassified non-coding RNA (402 nucleotides) under soil metagenome. RNAcentral's name for it is "partial contains 5.8S ribosomal RNA, internal transcribed spacer 2, and large subunit ribosomal RNA". The stretch from base 1 to 121 matches the Rfam family "5.8S ribosomal RNA", at positions 35 to 154 of the family's 154-position model. The record is from RNAcentral.
GAUGAAGAACGUAGCGAAACGCGAUAGUUAAUGUGAAUUGCAGAAUUCAGUGAAUCAUCGAAUCUUUGAACGCACCUUGCGCCCUUUGGCUAUUCUGAAGGGCAUGCCUGUUUGAGUAUCGUGAACACCUCAACUCUCAUGGUCUGCCAUGAUGAGCUUGGACUUUGGGGGUCUUGCUGGCCUACUGUCAGCUCCUCUCAAAUGAAUCAGCUUACCAGUGUUUGGUGGCACCACAGGUGUGAUAACUAUCUACGCUUGUGGUUUUCUGCCAGGUAACCUCCAGUGAUGGAGGUUCGCUGGAGCUCACAAAUGUCUCUCCUCAGCGAGGACAGCUUUUUGAACGUUUGAUCUCAAAUCAGGUAGGACUACCCGCUGAACUUAAGCAUAUCAAUAAGCGGAGGA